GCAAGAGAGACGAUGAGGGUUCAGGCGUUGCUCGCGCGCUCCUCGCACACGCUGCUCCGCCGCCUCUCCAGCCCUCCUCUUCUCCGCCCCACGCGCUGCUUCGUCUCAUUUCGCCUUAUUGCGCCGCCUCCGCCGCCUCCGAAGCUUCACUCCUUACCCGGUGCUCCGGCCCUGCGGCCGUUCUGCGUGAGGUCCUCCCAAGUCUCCGAUGCUGGCUCUAUCGACUCACCCAUGAUGCAGUCCAUGGAGAAUAAGAUCAAAG
This 262-nucleotide unclassified non-coding RNA is filed under the name Hevea brasiliensis (rubber tree). The record is from RNAcentral. Lineage: Eukaryota; Viridiplantae; Streptophyta; Magnoliopsida; Malpighiales; Euphorbiaceae.